Molecule: ribosomal RNA, 486 nt
Filed under: uncultured bacterium
Lineage: Bacteria
Description: partial 16S ribosomal RNA
Rfam family: Bacterial small subunit ribosomal RNA
Source: RNAcentral
AUUGAACGCUGGCGGCAUGCCUUACACAUGCAAGUCGAACGGCAGCACGGGUGCUUGCACCUGGUGGCGAGUGGCGAACGGGUGAGUAAUACAUCGGAACAUGUCCUGUAGUGGGGGAUAGCCCGGCGAAAGCCGGGUUAAUACCGCAUACGAUCUACGGAUGAAAGCGGGGGGCCUUCGAGCCUCGCGCUAUAGGGUUGGCAGAUGGCUGUUUGGCUAGUUGGGGGGGUAAAGGCCUAGCAAGGCGACGAUCAGUAGCUGGUCUGAGAGGACGACAAGCCACAUGGGGACGUAGACACGGCCCAGACUCCUACGGGAGGCAGCAGUGGGGAAUGUUGGACAAAGGGCGAAAGCCUGAUCCAGCAAUGGCGCGUGUGUGAAGAAGGCCUUCGGGUUGUAAAGCACUUUUGUGCGGAAAGAAAUCCUUGGGCCUAAUACGGUCGGGGGAUGACGGUACCGGAAGAAUAAGCACCGGCUAACUACGUG